CCUACGGGAGGCAGCAGUGAGGAAUAUUGGUCAAUGGACGAGAGUCUGAACCAGCCAAGUAGCGUGAAGGAUGACUGCCCUAUGGGUUUUAAACUUCUUUUAUCAAGGAAUAAAACGAGGCACGUGUGCCUUUUUGCAUGUACUUUAUGAAUAAGCAUCGGCUAACUCCGUGCCAGCAGCCGCUGUAAUACGUAGGAUUCGCGCGUUAUCCGGCUUUAUUGGGUUUAAAGAGAGCGUAGAUGGGUUGUUAAGUCAGUUGUGAAAGUUUGCGGCUCAACCGUAAAAUUGUAAUUGAUACUGGUAGUCUUGAGUACAGUUGAGGUAGGCGGAAUUCGUGGUGUAGCGGUGUAAUGCUUAGAUAUCACGAAGAACCCCGAUUGCGAAGGCAGCUUACUAAACUGUGACUGACAUUGAUGCACGAAAGUGUGGGUAUCAAACAGGAUUAGAUACCCGGGUAGUC
Molecule: ribosomal RNA, 460 nt
Filed under: uncultured bacterium
Lineage: Bacteria
Description: partial 16S ribosomal RNA
Rfam family: Bacterial small subunit ribosomal RNA
Source: RNAcentral